UUCUUCAAUUUUAAAAAGUAACUGAAUGCAUAAUUUAGUAAUUUACGUUUGCAAUAACUACUUAGAAGAAUAUGUUAACCGAUCCUUUCCCAAAAAAUACAAAACUAACCGCAGAGAAGCAAAGAAUAAAGCGAAAUUGAAGCAUGGAAAUCAUGAUGAUGAAAGAACCGGUAGAGGUUACGGUUACCACUGGGACACUGAGAUAAUUAAGGUCAUAUCAUAUAUUUCUUCUCACCACUACCAACAAAUGAUGAAAGAAAAAGGGGAAGGUUGCGCCAAUGACUUCGUAAGAAAUUUGUGUAUGAAAAGUGAAAGAGAAUUUACAUCCAUGGGCAGGAUCGCAUGUUCCUUGAAAAAAAUUGGGAUGAUAAAAGUGGCAGGAUUAACUUCAGAGAAUUCAUUAACUUUGCUAAACACAAGCGCGACAACAGAAAUUGGGAAAUCAUCCAUUGCAAAGAGAGAGACAGACAUAGAACAAACAUGAGAAGACAAGAAAGAUAGAGAGAUGAUGGGUGUACAGGUUUAGUAGAGAAAGAGUAAUUUUUUGUUUUGUAUUAAUGGUGACACAAGUUAUUUGGGUUAUAACAAGUUUUUGAGAAAGGUGUUGAAGGUAGUGGAUGUUACAAGAUUCUUUCUCAGUAUUUCAUGGUUCAGAUGAAAAAGUAUGCAUUUAAUGGUUUAGAGGAAAAAAAUGUUGUGUUGCGCAAAAGACACCACUGGAUCAUUCAUUCUAUGCACUAGCAUUUAAACGGACAAUCUCCCCUUUUUCUAUUGUGCUAACGUGCAAUGGAGUUUUUCAAAUGGGAGGAUAUGAAUGUGACGUGAUUGCAAAGGUUGAACAAUGUUGAAGGAGUGAAUAUGUUCUUAUUCAUUUUAUUUUAUGUAAGCCAUGCGUUAUGCUAGAGGAAUGAUAUUUGUAUAUGCAUUAUUGUGACAACUUCAUCUUUCUUUUUUAU
RNA transcript from Medicago truncatula (barrel medic), 956 nucleotides. RefSeq lists it as uncharacterized. NCBI's taxonomy places the organism in Eukaryota, Viridiplantae, Streptophyta, Magnoliopsida, Fabales, Fabaceae. The transcript has 5 exons. The record is from RefSeq and is a predicted model, not a curated record.